This 448-nucleotide long non-coding RNA is filed under the name Hordeum vulgare. RNAcentral's name for it is "long non-coding RNA (HVUL_LNC004176)". The record is from RNAcentral. Lineage: Eukaryota; Viridiplantae; Streptophyta; Magnoliopsida; Poales; Poaceae.
UUGUGUUGUGAUAUCUUCCCGUGAGUCCUUGGGUUUGAUCGUACGCAUUUGCGUGUAUGAUUAGCGUACGAUUAAAUCGAGGGCGUCACAGCUGAAAAGGACGCCAAGAAGAGAAAAGCAUCCUCAGCAGUAGAAGAAACAGAGGCAAAGCGCCUCAAAGAAAGUGAAGAAACUGCUCCCCUGGACCCGGUGCCUCUCAAUAUCGCCCCUUCCUAUGAGAUGGUCGUCAUUGAUGACCCAGCUAAGAAGGCAGAUGAGGAAAUGAAGGAUGUCGCCCUCAGGAACACACUGAUGAGGAAAUUCAGAUUGACGACAGUCCUCAACCUCUUAUUCCUCAGACAGAAACUGCUCAAGCAUCAGCUGCACCAGCUGAUGAAACUGCUUCUGCCACAAAGCCAGCAUAGGAAAAACAAGCUGAAAAUCCUCAUGCUGACGAAAUUCAACACUC